UAUCUCUGUAGAGUCUGCAUAUCAAUAAGCGGAGGAAAAGAAACUAACAAGGAUCCCCUUAGUAACGGCGAGUGAAGCGGGAAGAGCUCAAAUUUGAAAUCUUCAAGGUUCUACCUUGACGAAUUGUAGUUUAAAGAAGUGUUUUCUGUUAGAUGAGUAGCAAAAGUUCCUUGGAAUGGGACAUCAUAGAGGGUGAGAAUCCCGUAUUUGGUUAUUCAUUCUAGCUUUGUGAUACACUUUCAAAGAGUCGGAUUGUUUGGGAAUGCAGUCCAAAAUGGGUGGUAAAUUUCAUCUAAAGCUAAAUAUUGGCGAGAGACCGAUAGCGAACAAGUACCGUGAGGGAAAGAUGAAAAGAACUUUGAAAAGAGAGUUAAACAGUACGUGAAAUUGUCAAAAGGGAAGCGUUUGACACCAGUGUUGUUUUUCCGAAAAUCAAUUACGAAUGGCUUGAUUUUGUGUUGUAUUGACCUUAUCAGCUUUCUUCACUUUUUUCGAGUCUUUCUUAAUGCACUUUUCGGUUAACAAGUCAACAUCAAUUUCUUUUGUUGUAAAAGAGUAUUCGGAAGGUGGCUUUCUUUUCGGAGAAAGUGUUUAUAGCCCUAUACUUCUACAAUCGGAGAGAUUGAGGUCUGCAGCGUAGAUCCUUCGGGGUUAGAUACACUUGUGCUAAGUUGUAGCUUUUCAUAGACAACUUGUUGACUAUGUUUAGUCAUGCGGCUUACUCGCUUGUGCUAUUUUACCUACGCUUAGGAUGUUGACUGAUAUGUAGUCGUA
RNAcentral lists this ribosomal RNA (774 nucleotides) under uncultured Neocallimastigales. RNAcentral's name for it is "partial large subunit ribosomal RNA". It matches the Rfam family "Eukaryotic large subunit ribosomal RNA", at positions 24 to 644 of the family's 3401-position model. Lineage: Eukaryota; Fungi; Neocallimastigomycota; Neocallimastigomycetes; Neocallimastigales. The record is from RNAcentral.